This 252-nucleotide ribosomal RNA is filed under the name uncultured bacterium. RNAcentral describes it as "partial 16S ribosomal RNA". It matches the Rfam family "Bacterial small subunit ribosomal RNA", at positions 524 to 776 of the family's 1533-position model. The record is from RNAcentral.
UACGUAGGUCCCGAGCGUUGUCCGGAUUUAUUGGGCGUAGAGCGAGCGCAGGUGGUUUAUUAAGUCUGGUGUAAAAGGCAGUGGCUCAACCAUUGUAUGCAUUGGAAACUGGUAGACUUGAGUGCAGGAGAGGAGAGUGGAAUUCCAUGUGUAGCGGUGAAAUGCGUAGAUAUAUGGAGGAACACCGGUGGCGAAAGCGGCUCUCUGACCUGUAACUGACACUGAGGCUCGAAAGCGUGGGGAGCAAACAGG